CACAUUUUCACCUCGUCCAAUCCGCAGGCUGCUUCACAAUAAGAGUUGACUGCCCGCUGUACGGAUGUCAGUUUCACUUCAUCAGCCGCUACAGCUCUGCUUGUUAAAAUUCCUCCACACCCACUGCCGACCGGACUCAUCGGUGAUCUGAGAGAACAUAACCACUUAUGGGCAAAGGAUUGAAUUCAGGUCAAGCUGGGUGAGCUUCGUUUUCCCUCCAGAAGAUGGCGACCUCGUCUCACACUAGAUGUCAAUUAUCUGUCUCAAUUUUAGUUGUGUCUCUCAUCAUCUGCUGUCAUGGGCAUCAUCUGCUGUCAUGCACCAACCGCCAAUUCCAAUUCCUUGUAUGUCU
This is a long non-coding RNA of Gasterosteus aculeatus aculeatus (three-spined stickleback), 352 nucleotides long. The record is from Ensembl. Lineage: Eukaryota; Metazoa; Chordata; Actinopteri; Perciformes; Gasterosteidae.